GGCAUGGGCUGCACGGUGGCGCAGUUGGUAGCACUGUUGCCUUGCACCAAGAAGGUCCUGGGUUCAAUUCCCAACCAGGGGUCU
This is a non-coding RNA of Crenichthys baileyi (White River springfish), 84 nucleotides long. NCBI's taxonomy places the organism in Eukaryota, Metazoa, Chordata, Actinopteri, Cyprinodontiformes, Goodeidae. The record is from the annotation of a GenBank genome assembly.